Long non-coding RNA from Felis catus (domestic cat), 757 nucleotides. RefSeq lists it as uncharacterized. The transcript is spliced from 4 exons. The record is from RefSeq and is a predicted model, not a curated record. NCBI's taxonomy places the organism in Eukaryota, Metazoa, Chordata, Mammalia, Carnivora, Felidae.
GUGUGCUUUCCUCCCGGAAGUGGGAGAGUGGGUGGGACUAGCCCGCAGGCCCGCAAGCCCCGCAGAGAGCAGUUGAGACUUCCAGUGCGUCGUCCUCCAGGGGCUAGAGCGCCGAGGUGCGCCAGCCGCUCCAGCGCUGCGGCUCUGUGUUAGGGCAUCCAAGUUGGCGCUCCAGUCUGAGAAUGGUAGAUUGUGGCUUCAUCAUCGGUCCCCGCACGGGGAAGGGAGUCGUCUCUUCAGAUCCCCUCUUUUUGUUUUGUGUCCCCAGCAUACUCAGUCCAGCGGCGCUAGAUGAGCAUUGUUGGUCUUCAGUCAAUUCAUACUGAUACAGCUGAACCAGUUAUUCAAAGCCAUCCAUUUUUAUUAGUCACAGUGUUUGUUGUUAUCCAUCAGCACAUGGACUACUCCAAUUAUUAAGAAUUUUGAACAUCAUUCCUACAGAAACCAGGACUUUUGAAGAAAUGGCUGACUCCAAAUAUGGCACAGGAAACAGAAAAAAAUGUACCUGGGAUAUCUUGUCACUUCUGAAAGCAAGGGCAACAUCAAUGAAAAAAAUCAAAGUAUACCUGGUAAAGGGUCCAAAACAUCACUAUGAGUAGGAAGAUAAAGCAACCAAAGUCACAACAAGAGAGCAAGUAAUACAUUCGAAAAAACAGGCCUGAAGGGCCAGGCCCUGGACAGUGUAUAACCCCUCUUUAAUAUAGUAGUCUCACAGGUGCAGGACCAUAACAAGCUUUUAAAACACAUAAGGGAUGGG